GACGGGGGGGGCUAGUGUUAUUCGGAAUGACUAGGCGUAAAGGGCACGUAGGCGGUGAAUCCGGUUGAAAGUGAAAGUCGCCAGCUCAACUGGCGGAAUGCUUUCAAAACCAAUUCACUUGAGUAAGAUAGAGGAUAGUGGAAUUUCGUGUGUAGAGGUGAAAUUCGUAGAUAUUCGGAAGAACACCAGUGGCGAAGGCGGCUCACUGGUCCGGUACUGACGCUGAGGUGCGAAAGCGUGGGGAGCAAACAGG
Molecule: ribosomal RNA, 253 nt
Filed under: uncultured bacterium
Lineage: Bacteria
Description: partial 16S ribosomal RNA
Rfam family: Bacterial small subunit ribosomal RNA
Source: RNAcentral